This 2100-nucleotide ribosomal RNA is filed under the name human gut metagenome. Its description in RNAcentral is "bacterial LSU rRNA". It matches the Rfam family "Bacterial large subunit ribosomal RNA", at positions 339 to 2469 of the family's 2925-position model. The record is from RNAcentral.
GUUUUGGGAAAGCCGGCCGGAGAGGGUGAAAGCCCCGUACGUGAAAGCAGAGCUGACUGAGCAGGAUCCGGAGUACCACGAGACACGAGGAACCUUGUGGGAAGUAAGGGGGACCACCCCCUAAGGCUAAAUACUACUUAGUGACCGAUAGCGCAUAGUACUGUGAAGGAAAGGUGAAAAGGACCCCGGGAGGGGAGUGAAAGAGAACCUGAAACCCUGUGUCUACAAGCUGUGGAAGUGCCAUAUGAGCACGACCGCGUACUUUUUGUAGAACGGUCCGGCGAGUUACGCUUACUGGCAAGGUUAAGCACUUCAGGUGUGGAGCCGUAGGGAAACCAAGUCUUAAUAGGGCCAGAGUCAGUAGGAGUAGACCCGAAACCGGGUGAUCUAUCCAUGUCCAGGUUGAAGCUGCCGUAAGAGGUAGUGGAGGACCGAACCCACAUCCGUUGAAAAGGGUGGGGAUGAGGUGUGGAUAGGGGAGAAAUUCCAAUCGAACCCGGAGAUAGCUGGUUCUCCUCGAAAUAGCUUUAGGGCUAGCCUCGGUGUGAGUCUUGCGGAGGUAGAGCACUGAAUUUCCUAGGGGGCGUCAAAGCCUACCGAAGAAUAUCAAACUCCGAAUGCCGUGUAGAUAUCACCGGGAGUCAGACUGCACGAGAUAAGUUGGGCGGUCAAAAGGGAAAGAGCCCAGACCUACAGUUAAGGUCCCAAAGUGCGCGUUAAGUGGAAAAGGAUGUGGGAUUUCGAAGACAACCAGGAUGUUGGCUCAGAAGCAGCCAUACAUUCAAAGAGUGCGUAAUAGCUCACUGGUCGAGAGGUCCUGCGCCGAAAAUGUCCGGGGCUGAAACGCGCCACCGAAACUAAGGAAUCUGAAAAGAUUGGUAGAGGAGCAUUGCAUGCGGGAAGAAGCAGUACCGGAAGGAGCUGUGGACUGCAUGGAAGAGAGAAUGCCGGAAUGAGUAGCGAGAUAGAGGUGGGAAUCCUCUAGGCCGAAUAUCCAAGGUUUCCAGGGUAAAGCUGAUCUGCCCUGGGUGAGUCGGGACCUAAGGUGAGGGCGAGAGCCGUAGCCGAUGGACAACAGGUUGAUAUUCCUGUACUGCAGUAUGACAGAACUGUGGGGACACGUAAGGAGAGCGGGAGCCGGGAAUGGAAAGCCCGGUACAAGCGAGGUACCAGUCACAUAGGAAAAUCCGUGUGGCAAUGGGAAGACGUGAUGUGGAGCGAAGAUUAGUAGCGAAGCCCGUGAGCCAUGCGUCAAGAAAAGCCGCUAUCGUUCAUAUUGUACCCGUACCGUAAACCGACACAGGUGGAUGAGGAGAGAAUCCUAAGGCCGGCGGAAGAAGUAUUGCCAAGGAACUCGGCAAAAUGGCCCCGUAACUUAGGGAGAAGGGGUGCCUGCGAGAGCAGGCCGCAGAGAAUAGGCUCAAGCAACUGUUUAGCAAAAACACAGGUCUAUGCGAAACCGAAAGGUGAGGUAUAUGGGCUGACGCCUGCCCGGUGCUGGAAGGUUAAGAGGAGAGGUUAGACGUAAGUCGAAGCUUUGAAUUUAAGCCCCAGUAAACGGCGGCCGUAACUAUAACGGUCCUAAGGUAGCGAAAUUCCUUGUCGGGUAAGUUCCGACCCGCACGAAAGGCGUAAUGAUUUGAGCGCUGUCUCGGCAAUACAUCCGGUGAAAUUGAAGUGCCAGUGAAGAUGCUGGCUACCCGCGCCAGGACGGAAAGACCCCAUGGAGCUUUACUCCAGUUUGGCACUGGGGUCCGGUGUUGCAUGUACAGGAUAGGUGGGAGGCUGAGAAACGGUAACGUCAGUUGCCGCGGAGCCGCUGUUGGGAUACCACCCUUGUGAUAUUGGGCUUCUAACCAGCCGCCGUAAUCCGGCGGUGGGACAAUGCCAGGCGGGGAGUUUGACUGGGGCGGUCGCCUCCGAAAGGGUAUCGGAGGCGCCCAAAGGUUCCCUCAGAAUGGACGGAAACCAUUCGAAGAGUGCAAAGGCAGAAGGGAGCUUGACUGCGACACCGACGGGUGGAGCAGGUACGAAAGUAGGGCUUAGUGAUCCGGUGGUAUUAAGUGGGAAUGCCAUCGCUCAACGGAUAAAAGCUACCCU